Molecule: microRNA precursor, 84 nt
Filed under: Bombyx mori (domestic silkworm)
Lineage: Eukaryota; Metazoa; Arthropoda; Insecta; Lepidoptera; Bombycidae
Description: mir-2807 microRNA precursor family
Rfam family: mir-2807 microRNA precursor family
Source: Rfam by way of RNAcentral
UUAGCUCAUAUUUGUAUGGAGUGGGAUCGUUUGCGUACGUUUGCCGUUAGGGGCGCUGUUCCAACUGCAUACAAAAUUGGCUUA